AUUGAACGCUGGCGGCAGGCCUAACACAUGCAAGUCGAACGGUAACAGGAAGCAGCUUGCUGCUUUGCUGACGAGUGGCGGACGGGUGAGUAAUGUCUGGGAAACUGCCCGAUGGAGGGGGAUAACUACUGGAAACGGUAGCUAAUACCGCAUAACGUCGCACGACCAAAGAGGGGGACCUUAGGGCCUCUUGCCAUCGGAUGUGCCCGGAUGGGAUUAGCUAGUAGGUGGGGUAACGGCUCACCUAGGCGACGAUCCCUAGCUGGUCUGAGAGGAUGACCAGCCACACUGGAACUGAGACACGGUCCAGACUCCUACGGGAGGCAGCAGUGGGGAAUAUUGCACAAUGGGCGCAAGCCUGAUGCAGCCAUGCCGCGUGUAUGAAGAAGGCCUUCGGGUUGUAAAGUACUUUCAGCGGGGAGGAAGGGAGUAAAGUUAAUACCUUGGCUGAUGGACGUUACCGGCAGAAGAAGCACCGGCUAACUCCGUG
This 490-nucleotide ribosomal RNA is filed under the name uncultured bacterium. RNAcentral's name for it is "partial 16S ribosomal RNA". It matches the Rfam family "Bacterial small subunit ribosomal RNA", at positions 30 to 507 of the family's 1533-position model. The record is from RNAcentral.